RNAcentral lists this ribosomal RNA (226 nucleotides) under uncultured bacterium. RNAcentral's name for it is "partial 16S ribosomal RNA". It matches the Rfam family "Bacterial small subunit ribosomal RNA", at positions 106 to 334 of the family's 1533-position model. The record is from RNAcentral.
GGGAGUAAUACAUCGGAACGUGUCUUCUAGUGGGGGAAACUAGCCCGAAAGGGCAGCUAAUACCGCAUGAGACCUGAGGGUGAAAGCGGGGGAGUCGCAAGACCUCGCGCUGGAAGAGCGGCCGAUGUCCGAUUAGCUAGUUGGUGAGGUAAAGGCUCACCAAGGCGACGAUCGGUAGCUGGUCUGAGAGGACGACCAGCCACACUGGGACUGAGACACGGCCCAG